RNAcentral lists this ribosomal RNA (497 nucleotides) under uncultured bacterium. Its description in RNAcentral is "partial 16S ribosomal RNA". It matches the Rfam family "Bacterial small subunit ribosomal RNA", at positions 28 to 507 of the family's 1533-position model. The record is from RNAcentral.
GAUGAACGCUGGCGGCGUGCCUAAUACAUGCAAGUCGAGCGAACGGACGAGAAGCUUGCUUCUCUGAUUUUAGCGGCGGACGGGUGAGUAACACGUGGAUAACCUACCUAUAAGACUGGGAUAACUUCGGGAAACCGGAGCUAAUACCGGAUAAUAUUUUGAACCGCAUGGUUCAAAAGUGAAAGACGGUCUUGCUGUCACUUAUAGAUGGAUCCGCGCUGCAUUAGCUAGUUGGUAAGGUAACUGCUUACCAAGGCAACGAUGCAUAGCCGACCUGAGAGGGUGAUCGGACAAACUGGAACUGAGACACGGCACAGACUCCUAGGGGAGGAAGCAGUAGGGAAUCUUCCGCGAUGGGCGAAAGCCUGACGGAGCAACGCCGCGUGAGUGAUGAAGGUCUUCGGAUCGUAAAACUCUGUUAUUAGGGAAGAACAUAUGUGUAAGUAACUGUGCACAUCUUGACGGUACCUAAUCAGAAAGCCACGGCUAACUCCGUG